Molecule: ribosomal RNA, 506 nt
Filed under: uncultured bacterium
Lineage: Bacteria
Description: partial 16S ribosomal RNA
Rfam family: Bacterial small subunit ribosomal RNA
Source: RNAcentral
AGUGAACGCUGGCGGUAGGCCUAACACAUGCAAGUCGAACGACAGCACAGGAGAGCUUGCUCUCUGGGUGGCGAGUGGCGGACGGGUGAGGAAUACAUCGGAAUCUACUUUUUCGUGGGGGAUAACGUAGGGAAACUUACGCUAAUACCGCAUACGACCUACGGGUGAAAGCAGGGGAUCUUCGGACCUUGCGCGAUUGAAUGAGCCGAUGUCGGAUUAGCUAGUUGGCGGGGUAAAGGCCCACCAAGGCGACGAUCCGUAGCUGGUCUGAGAGGAUGAUCAGCCACACUGGAACUGAGACACGGUCCAGACUCCUACGGGAGGCAGCAGUGGGGAAUAUUGGACAAUGGGCGCAAGCCUGAUCCAGCCAUACCGCGUGGGUGAAGAAGGCCUUCGGGUUGUAAAGCCCUUUUGUUGGGAAAGAAAUCCAGCUGGCUAAUACCCGGUUGGGAUGACGGUACCCAAAGAAUAAGCACCGGCUAACUUCGUGCCAGCAGCCGCCAUAA